RNAcentral lists this long non-coding RNA (819 nucleotides) under Equus asinus (donkey). RNAcentral's name for it is "lncRNA (ENSEASG00005023937.1)". The record is from RNAcentral. Lineage: Eukaryota; Metazoa; Chordata; Mammalia; Perissodactyla; Equidae.
GAGGCUCCUGAGGAAGAGGAAAUCGGAUUCUGGCAGAUCGAGAAGCUAAGGCUCCAAGAGGUUGACACUUGGCCAAGUUGAGAUUGUACGAGGGCAGCAGGGCCCACACACAGGGGCUGGCCCCGUGGCCGAGUGGUUAAGUUCGCGCGCUCCGCUGCAGGCCGCCCAGUGUUUCAUUGGUUCGAAUCCUGGGCGCGGACAUGGCACUGCUCGUCAGACCACGCUGAGGCAGCGUCCCACAUGCCACAACUAGAAGAACCCACAACGAAGAAUACACAACUAUGUACCAGGGGACUUUGGGGAGAAAAAGGAAAAAAUAAAAUCUUUAAAAAAAAAAUUAACUUUUAAAUGAGUAAAUCAGAAAACAGAAAUCAUGUUAUCAUUUAUGUUUAGUCCACUGGAUGCUUUUUUCCAAAAUGAUAUUAAGGCAGGUAUCCUUGUUUCCUCAGCCUGAAAGAAUCAUUCACCAGUUUUUUGACUCUAUCAGCUGAAUAUUCCACCAAAGAGAGAAAGAUGAUGUGUGGUCCAGCUCUCCAACAGAGAGAAACCAAGCCUCUCAAAGCUGGUCAACCCGCAUGCCCUGCUGGCUGGCUUCCCUGUGUCCAGCUCAUCCUUGGGAUUUAAUCUGAGUCCUAGACUUAUGGGUGAAAUUCCCCCAUCUCAUCCGGAGGAAUUAUCAAACUGGCUCUAAUUUCAUUAUUCAAAAUCUUUUCAAAGUUAAACUUCAAGAAACACCUCUGUUCUCAUUUUGGGAAACUUCGUCUUGAUCUCUUUCCUCAAGAGAUCUCGAGGGGCCGGCCCUGUGGCAGAGUGGUUAAG